Molecule: long non-coding RNA, 297 nt
Filed under: Pan troglodytes (chimpanzee)
Lineage: Eukaryota; Metazoa; Chordata; Mammalia; Primates; Hominidae
Description: long non-coding RNA NONPTRT007591
Source: RNAcentral
UUUAACAAAUUCCAUAUGUAGUGUCUGCAUAUUUAAAUCAGAAGGCUUGAGGCUCUUGAGUAUUAGGCAGCUGUUCUAAUGGGUACACAUUGAUCUUCUAAAUCCUUCCACAUAUAACCACCAGGACUUCCCAUUUCAUAUAUGAACAAUCUGAACUUGUUAGGGAAAAUUUUCUUUAAUCACAAAGAUAAAGGUUUUUAGGACAGAAUCUUUAUGACAUUCUGAAUUCUGCCCAUCACCUGGAAAUACAUGCACAUGCUCUUUAUAAACACAUGUGCCCAUACACAAACACACUUA